GUUGUAUGGUCAAGCAAACAAGCGCACAUGGUGGAUGCCUUGGCGAUAAGAGGCGAUGAAGGACGUGGUAGUCUGCGAUAAGCCCCGGUAAGUUGACAAACUAACUCUGACCCGGGGAUUUCCGAAUGGGGAAACCCACCCGCUUUGCGCGGGUAUCGCGCGCUGAAUACAUAGGCGCGCGAGGCGAACCCGGGGAACUGAAACAUCUAAGUACCCGGAGGAACAGAAAUCAACCGAGAUUCCCCAAGUAGCGGCGAGCGAACGGGGACCAGCCUGCAUGCGAUAGCGGGAAAGUUAGUGGAACGGUCUGGAAAGUCCGGCCACAGCGGGUGACAGCCCCGUACACGAAAACUUUUCCGUGAUACUGAGCAUGCGACAAGUAGGGCGGAGCACGUGAAACUCUGUCUGAACAUGGGGGGACCAUCCUCCAAGGCUAAAUACUACUUAUCGACCGAUAGUGAACCAGUACCGUGAGGGAAAGGCGAAAAGAACCCCUGUUAGGGGAGUGAAACAGAACCUGAAACCGUGUGUGUACAAGCAGUGGGAGCCUGAUUCCCGGAUUCGUCCGGGGAACGGGCGACUGCGUACCUUUUGUAUAAUGGGUCAGCGACUUAAUUUCAGUAGCAAGGUUAACCUGUCAUGGGGGAGCCGCAGCGAAAGCGAGUCUUAACAGGGCGAUUAGUCUUCGGACGCGAGUUGCUGGGAUUAGACCCGAAACCGGGCGAUCUAGCCAUGGCCAGGUUGAAGGUCGGGUAAUACCGACUGGAGGACCGAACCAACCUAUGUUGAAAAAUGGGUGGAUGAGCUGUGGCUCGGAGUGAAAGGCUAAACAAGCCCGGAGAUAGCUGGUUCUCCUCGAAAACUAUUUAGGUAGUGCCUCGUGUCUCACCGUCGGGGGUAGAGCACUGUCAUGGCUAGGGCUGCAUCUCGCGGUACCAACCCAUAGCAAACUCCGAAUACCGACGAGUGCAAUCACGGGAGACAGACGGCGGGAGAUAAGUUUCGUCGUCGAAAGGGAAACAGCCCAGACCGCCGAUUAAGGUCCCCAAACACAUCUCAGUGGGAAACGAUGUGGGAAGGCUCAGACAGCCAGGAGGUUGGCUUAGAAGCAGCCAUCCUUUAAAGAAAGCGUAAUAGCUCACUGGUCGAGUCGGCCUGCGCGGAAGAUAUACCGGGGCUCAAGAUGUGUACCGAAAUCGCGGGCGCGCGCAUUCUUCGGAAUGCGCGCGCGGUAGAGGAGCGUUCCGUACGUCGUUGAAGGUGUGCCGUGAGGCAUGCUGGAGGCAUCGGAAGUGAGAAUGCUGACAUGAGUAGCGAUAAUGCGGGUGAGAGGCCCGCACGCCGAAAGCCCAAGGUUUCCUGCGCAACGCUAAUCGGCGCAGGGUGAGUCGACCCCUAAGGCGAGGCCGAAAGGCGUAGUCGAUGGGAAUCAGGUUAAUAUUCCUGAACCGGCCAUAACUGCGACGGGGUGACGGAGAAGGCUAGGUCGGCCGGGUGUUGGAUGUCCCGGUUUAAGCGCGUAGGUUGGAUGCCCAGGCAAAUCCGGGCGUCCGUUAAGACUGAGGCGUGAUGACGAGCGCUUUAAUUAGCGCGAAGCGAUUGAUGCCAUGCUUCCAGGAAAAACCCCUAAGCUUCAGGUUAUGUUCGAUCGUACCCCAAACCGACACAGGUGGGCGGGGAGAGAAUCCCAAGGCGCUUGAGAGAACUCUGGUGAAGGAACUCGGCAAAAUGACACCGUAACUUCGGGAGAAGGUGUGCCUCCGUCAGGUGACGGGCUUCGCGCCCCGAGCCGAGGGGGGUUGCAACAAAGAGGUGGCUGCGACUGUUUACUAAAAACACAGCACUCUGCAAACUCGCAAGAGGAAGUAUAGGGUGUGACGCCUGCCCGGUGCCGGAAGGUUAAGUGACGGGGUUAGCCGUUUUCGAACGGCGACGCUCCCGACCGAAGCCCCGGUGAACGGCGGCCGUAACUAUAACGGUCCUAAGGUAGCGAAAUUCCUUGUCGGGUAAGUUCCGACCUGCACGAAUGGCGUAACGAUGGCCUGGCCACACUGUCUCCACCAGAGACUCAGCGAAAUUGAACUCGCUGUGAAGAUGCAGCGUACCCGCGGUUAGACGGAGAGACCCCGUGAACCUUUACUACAACUUCACACUGGACUUUGAACAGGCAUGUGCAGGAUAGGUGGCAGGCUUUGAAGUGGAGACGCCAGUCUCCGCGGAGCCGUCCUUGAGAUACCACCCUUGUUUGUUUGGGGCCCUAACCGAGGCCCGUUAUCCGGGUCCGGGACCAUGUGUGGCGGGUAGUUUGACUGGGGCGGUCUCCUCCCAAAGCGUAACGGAGGAGCGCGAAGGUACUCUAAGCACGGUCGGAAAUCGUGCGGUUAGUGCAAAGGCACAAGAGUGCUUGACUGCGAGACAGACACGUCGAGCAGGAACGAAAGUUGGUCUUAGUGAUCCGGUGGUUCUGUAUGGAAGGGCCAUCGCUCAACGGAUAAAAGGUACUCCGGGGAUAACAGGCUGAUACCGCCCAAGAGUUCACAUCGACGGCGGUGUUUGGCACCUCGAUGUCGGCUCAUCACAUCCUGGGGCUGUAGCCGGUCCCAAGGGUAUGGCUGUUCGCCAUUUAAAGUGGUACGCGAGCUGGGUUUAGAACGUCGUGAGACAGUUUGGUCCCUAUCUGCCGUGGGCGCCGGAGACUUGAGAGGAGCUGCUCCUAGUACGAGAGGACCGGAGUGGACGUACCUCUGGUGUUCCGGUUGUCACGCCAGUGGCACCGCCGGGUAGCUAUGUACGGACGGGAUAACCGCUGAAAGCAUCUAAGCGGGAAGCCCCCCUCAAGAUGAGGUCUCCCGGGGCGUUAAGCCCCCUGAAGGGCCGUUGAAGACGACAACGUGGAUAGGCCGGGUGUGGAAGCGCAGCAAUGCGUGAAGCUAACCGGUACUAAUUGCCCGUGCGGCUUGACCAUACAACCCCAAG
This 2976-nucleotide ribosomal RNA is filed under the name Thaumarchaeota archaeon S15. RNAcentral describes it as "bacterial LSU rRNA". It matches the Rfam family "Bacterial large subunit ribosomal RNA". Lineage: Archaea; Thermoproteati; Nitrososphaerota. The record is from RNAcentral.